UUCGCUUGUCUUUUAUUUGUACUAACUUCUACUGAUUCUAUAGUAUUUUAUUUUUAUGGAUUACAGAUGCAUUCAAACAGCCGGUUUAAAUCAAAAGAGGACUGCGGUCUUUUAAUCAAAAGAGAACGGCAGACUGCAGGUAUGCAAGGCAUGCAGCUGCAACUACAGGUACUGCCAUCGCAAAUCAGUACAAAACGUGACUGUCUGUCCCUGGUUCUGUGAUUAACACAACUCUGCUACCUCCAUCCCUAGACCAAUCAAGACCACCCCAAAUGUAAUAUGUGAUGUGCUGCUUCUGCGCGAACAGGGAGAAGGGAUCCAUCAGCUGCACUGCACAUGACGUUCUCAUUGGCCAGCAGUCAGGACUGAGACCACCUCAUCCUUCUUCCCGUAUGGCUGAGAAAAGCCCAAACAAACAUGACCAAAGUCAUGUAUAUUGGAUCACUUUCGCCUGACUCUUGUUGUUAUUCUUACAGAAAUCACUAUGUCAUGGCUUAGGAGAUGGAGAUCGUGUUAGCUCUUCUAACGUAUGGUGUAGUAUACCUAUUCCAAAGUGUAGACGCCGUUGGAAAUGAGUCCAUUUUCUGUAGUGUAUGGUGUAGUAUGCUGUAUACCUAUUCAAAAGUUCUCAGAAUUAUGACACCCAUUAAAAUUUGGCUCGUGAGUGAGUUGUGACAUGUCGUUCGUAGUUACGUUAUGAUUAAGGUUCUAUUUAGCACGACUCCAGUUUACUAGUAAAUGCGCUAUUUUUUGUUUCAGCUCUACCAUUGGUAAAUCGUUUAGUAAAGCAUCCACGUCCAGAGCUCAUUAAAAUAUACUCUCAUUGAAUCCAGGUAAUAUAGCUCUACCAUUGAAGCUAUAGAGCUUCAAUAGUGUCCUCUAAAAUAUUCUUUAAGUAUAGAAGACGAUCAUCCAUUCUCUCUCUCUCUGAAUAUAGAAAUUCUCUCUCCUCUCAUCUAUUUAUUUUAAUAUUUUAAACAUUAGACUAGGUGAGUAUCCGUGCGUUGCAACGGGAACAUAUAAUAUCAUGAUAACUUAUAUAUAUAAUAUGUUUUAUAUUGUUAUAAAAAAUGUUUCAUAAUCCAUUUAUGACCCCAACCAUACAUAAAUUUUGUUAUUUUAAUUUAGUUGUUUCACUACUACAUUGCAACCAUCAGUAUCAUGCAGACUUCGAUAUAUAUCAUGAUUUGCAUGGUCUCAUCAUUGGAGAGCAUGUGCCACACCUGCCGGUAGAAGUUCCGUCGUACAUCGUUAGUCAUCAUACACGUACCACCAUACACGUUUGCUUAAACAAAAAGGUAAGCGUGUGUUUGCGAAGAGAAUUAAAAGCAGACCAGCACAAAAGCUACCCCGACGAUGGCGAGUAGUCAUUGUUGUCAGUCCUCCUCUGCGUCACCUCCGGCGCCGAGAUGACGCCACAAUCCUUGAUAUAGUAGCCGUCGAACACACGCGACAUGGUGAGUACCGAUGACUUUUGGCUGGACUGUCAAAUGAAGUGCACCCCGGGCUCAUCAGCGAGGUAGUACACCUGGUCGUUACACCACCGGAUGUGCUACUCUUCUACAUACAUCUUGUUCAAGGACACUCACACAACAGCAACAAUGGCCGUCAUCCCAGUGCACAAGAAUUCAUGGCCGGUCAGUAGCGACUUACAUGGCAGGUUGGGCUUCAGGUGGAUGAUGAGCCGGACAGCGUGAUGGCGCCGUCGUCGGUUGCGAUACCCAGAACAACCCGAGAGUCGUCGGCAUUGGCGACGAUCAUGAGGUCCUCCUGUUUGACGAUGGACAGCGCGGUGCAGCCGCUCUGGACCGUGUCCAAGCGAUGGCUGCGCCGGAGCUUGCCGUACACAGUGACGCAUGGGCCACGUAGGAUUGCUUUCAGAGGUCGAACUGGCAGUCGCCAAGCUUCUUCUCGUCGUCAACGAGCGACGCGAGCGCCUCGUGCUAGUGGUGUUUGUUCAGGGUUUCAAGAAAGAAACAUGGAUUCAUCUUUGGCAUUGGUUUAUGAAAAUGACUCAUAAGUCAGAUCCAUGGAAAAAUAUUACGGAGAAUAAAUGUCACACAUGCAAAAAAAAAAGAAUUUAAGUUGAAAACAUUAUUCAAACAAAAGAAAUUGCAUGCAAGACUAUUCUUUAAAUAUUAUUCCCUCAAUCCAAAAAUAUAAUUUAAUAAUCUCGGUGAUACUUAUCUACUACUACACAUUAUGUUAGGGUAGCAUGUGGGCUUCGGGAGAGAUGUAGUAUAUAUUUUUACUAUAAUAGAUGUAGACAUAAAAACACAUGUGGUGCAGUGGUAGCUACAAACACAUUUGUGUGAGAGGUCGCGGGUUUGAAUCCCCUUGAGGCUUGUUUUUUUUAAUUUAAUUUUAGCUAGGUGUAGGAUAUACAAGUAGUAUAGAUUUAGUAAAACUAAAAUAUACAUACAAUAUUUUAGAGCACGAUAAAUACGUGUGUACAAAAAACUAAACGUAGAGAAGACACGACAGAGGAUAUAUAGAUAAAGGAUUUUUCAGAAAAAGUCGGUAAAGAAGAGAUACAGAGGAUGUAGUUUAAAAAAAAAAGUUGAGUUAGUAGCUCUAGAAAAGCCACGUCAAAUUGGGAAUAUGGAAAAGCUUUGAUGGCUGGGGUGAUUUUGCGCAGCAUCGUAAAGCCACAAAUAAAGAACUAAGAUGAAAGAUAAUUUUUAGUUGUUUACUUUGGAUUAAAGACAUCUCCUCGGACUCUGUAACUAUAAUUUAUAAAGACAAAGCAAUGUACAAAUAGUAGAAACCGUUUUAGAUUAAAACUUGAUUGUUUCUUCAGAAAAAAGAAAAAAGAUAAAAGAGAACUUCACCGUUUUUUAUUGGUUGAAAGAAAGGGGCAGAAAUUAUUCAAUAACCAAAGCCAAUUCUCGACGGUGGUGCUAGUGCGGCUGAAAUUCUAUAAUAUUUAAUUUAUAUCAACUUUUACUAAUUCUAUAAUAUUUUAUCUUUAUGUAUUACAAAUGCACCUAUUGAAACAGCUUUAAUCCAAAGGAAACGGCAGACUGCAGGUUCAAGGCAUGCAGCUGCAAGCUGCAACUACAGGUACUGCCAUCGCAAAUCAGUACAAAACGUGACUGCCUGUCCCUGGUUCUGUGAUUAACACAACUCUGCUACCUCCAUACCUAGACCAAUCAAGAUCACCCCAAAUGUAAUAUGUGAUGUGCUUCUUCUGCGCGAACAGGGAGAAGGGAUCCAUCAGGUGCA
This 3225-nucleotide long non-coding RNA is filed under the name Zea mays. Its description in RNAcentral is "long non-coding RNA (ZMAY_LNC005616)". Lineage: Eukaryota; Viridiplantae; Streptophyta; Magnoliopsida; Poales; Poaceae. The record is from RNAcentral.